AUUCAAAUAGUUUAAAUAAAAAUGUUGACUUGUGGCGUCAGAGAUGUAUUUUUGUACUUUGAGUU
This 65-nucleotide transfer RNA is filed under the name Portunus sanguinolentus (three spot swimming crab). RNAcentral's name for it is "tRNA-His". Lineage: Eukaryota; Metazoa; Arthropoda; Malacostraca; Decapoda; Portunidae. The record is from RNAcentral.